UUUCAAGGAGGCAACGGGGAUUCGACUUCCCCUGGGGGUA
RNAcentral lists this transfer RNA (40 nucleotides) under Bulbophyllum sciaphile. Its description in RNAcentral is "partial tRNA-Glu". RNAcentral also lists the same sequence under 13 other names. Lineage: Eukaryota; Viridiplantae; Streptophyta; Magnoliopsida; Asparagales; Orchidaceae. The record is from RNAcentral.